UAUGUGAUCGUCUCUCGCAUAUCAAUAAGCGGAGGAAAAGAAACUAACAAGGAUUCCCCUAGUAACGGCGAGUGAAGCGGGAAGAGCUCAAAUUUGAAAUCUUAAAGGGUUUCCCUUUACGAAUUGUAGUUUAAAGAAGUGUUUUCUGUUGAGGUUUUGGUAAAAGUUCUUUGGAAUAGGACAUCAUAGAGGGUGAGAAUCCCGUAUUUGACCUUUACUUUCAACUUUGUGAUACACUUUCAAAGAGUCGGAUUGUUUGGGAAUGCAGUCCAAAAUGGGUGGUAAAUUUCAUCUAAAGCUAAAUAUUGGCGAGAGACCGAUUAGCGAACAAGUACCGUGAGGGAAAGAUGAAAAGAACUUUGAAAAGAGAGUUAAACAGUACGUGAAAUUGUCAAAAGGGAAGCGUUUGACACCAGUGUUGUUUUUCUGAAAAUCAAUUAAAGAACUGUUUAUGCUAAGCUGUUUAGACUUUAUCAGCUAUCUGUUUAGUUUUGAGCUUUUCUUUAAUGCACUUUUCAGUUAACAAGUCAACAUCAAUUUCUUUUGCUGUAAAAAAGCUUGAGGAAGGUGGCUUGAGAUUCGUCUUAAGUGUUUAUAGCCUCUUGCCUAUGCAGUCGGAGAGAUUGAGGUCUGCAGCGUAGAUCCUUCGGGGCUAAAUGCAUUUGUGCUAAGUUAUAGCAUUUUAUAGACAACUUGUUGACUAUGAUUUGUCUUGUAGCUUACUCGCUUAUGUUAUUUUACCUACGCUUAGGAUGUUGAGCGCAUGUCUCUCUCU
Molecule: ribosomal RNA, 775 nt
Filed under: uncultured Neocallimastigales
Lineage: Eukaryota; Fungi; Neocallimastigomycota; Neocallimastigomycetes; Neocallimastigales
Description: partial large subunit ribosomal RNA
Rfam family: Eukaryotic large subunit ribosomal RNA
Source: RNAcentral